UUACUUGAAAUUCUGGUAUCACUAAAGUGAUGUUACCCAAGAUGUCCCAACAACUUCUUUAUGAAUAAUGUUGUUUCUAUUGUUGGCACACCUUAUAUAACAUAAAAAAAUACUGACAGAGAAUAAAUAAACUGCACAAGUAAUUGUUAACCCAGUUCAGCCAACUGCCUACUCUGGGGGAUACCAAUCCAGGAAGGAAAUCCACUAAUAGCUCUAGUUACUAAGACCUCCAGCAAACCCUAGGAUUUACGCCUUAAACUAAGACCUCCAGCAAACCCCUGGUUUACGCCUUAUAACCUCGACACUACUCAUGCAACUUCUGCCUAGGAACUCCUAGACAUGAGAUCCCAACUCACUUCCACUCACACAACACAACCUGUGUUGUUUAAACAAUGUUGGGAAUGAUGUGGCAACAACUUACCAAGACACUACUUCACUUUUGCUUAAAAUCUUCAAGUGAAUCACACACGGUAAACUCCAUACUUCAAAGCUUAGGAGUCACCUUAAAAUAAUAAACUUACUUCUUAACUCGUGUUAUAGAAUCCACAAGCAAGAAUUACA
Molecule: long non-coding RNA, 561 nt
Filed under: Trifolium pratense (red clover)
Lineage: Eukaryota; Viridiplantae; Streptophyta; Magnoliopsida; Fabales; Fabaceae
Description: long non-coding RNA (TPRA_LNC003939)
Source: RNAcentral